AAAGAAAAGAUUAUCCUAGGCACUGUGGGAAUCGAUGUAAGCGAAGCUUUCUGUGUUGGAUGCUUUGAUUGACGAUAAUCAGCGGUGAUGUUGACGGCUAAAGCUUAGUUUCUUCAGCGUUUAGGCUAACACGAGAGUGAUUGUGAGUGCAAGCUCACCAUGGUGUAACUGCAAUAGCUGGUUCUGUCAAGUAUGGGACAUCUACCUGUGCUUAGAGGAGGGAAACAAAUGCAGGACGCAAAGAUCCAACAGCUGUGGCCACUGCUGGUGCUACCCCGACAUCCGUGAUAAAAAAUAUUGUUAGGAACAGGACGCAGAUCCGGGCAAGGUCCAUCUAUUUGAAGUUUUUAAAGGGUGGCCCCAUGUCAAUCCACAAAACGAGUUCAACCAUUGUGGAUGUUUCUGCAGAGACUAUGGGUCUUCUCUCUCAUAUUCUAUCCUUUCUUCAGUGCUCUAUACUAAGUCUACGAGAACCAGCAAGCCUUAUUCCAGAUGUCUGAAAAGCUUCCAGCUUCAUGCUGCCCGUCAGGCCCAAAUGGUAUAUGAAACUAUACUGAAGAAAAUGCACAAAGCAUGAUGUACACGUGGUCUGUAUACAUCUAGCCUCAACUUGUAAUUUCAUCCCACGAGAAAAUGUCAUUCUGUCACAAGGAAACUGAAAGACAGCUUCUUCAAGGACAACAAUUCACACAAGUGGGCUGAAAAUGGUAUGAGGUAUAUCUAAACUUGGAUGUCCACCUGAUGUCCUAUUUGUUUCCAAAGCACUACAUGUAUAAUUGACAUGCUCUAAAUGUGCCGCGGAUGACAUGCUUCGACCGUAUUCUCUCUUUUGUCAUCAAAGUCGCCAGGUGGGAGCACAUGCACCUUUCUUUUCUGUGGAAUAAUAACCUUAACUGGCAACUUAAAGAUUUCAACGAUGUUUGCCAAGAAUGGCAAAGGAUAUUGGACACUAAAAAACACAGAAAAAAAGUUAGUAAAAAGUACAUGUUAGUAAAUUACUUUUGUAGAAUACUAAAAAAAAUCAACUCUUACCUUGAUAGAAGGUAUAAUGCAGAAAAAAAUGCAAGAAUGAAAGAUGUGUGGCAAUGCCUCUUCGAUGCUUGAACACCAGCUUGCCAUGAUGCCAUCGAUUUUGUCAACAUCUGCUCAGCUCUAGUCAUUUCUUCCUUGGUAAAGAUGUAUUAUAAUGCAUUCGAAAAGAGUCCAAGACCUAAGCUCACAAACUUUGAGAGGAUUACUUUGCCACAGUGGCCAUAAUACGAGAAAAUACUUUGAAAUCUGUGGUGUCGCAUUCAUGUACACCAGCACUGGGGUUCUUGCAUAAAAUUUGUGUGUGGCUUUCAUUUUCUCUUCUAUUAAUCAACCUGUUAGUGUAAAAUUAGAAAAACACAGUUUUGAACGAAUACUUUAUUGGUCUAUAAAUAGGUUGAAUGUUUCUCUUC
This is a non-coding RNA of Dermacentor albipictus, 1442 nucleotides long. The record is from RefSeq and is a predicted model, not a curated record. NCBI's taxonomy places the organism in Eukaryota, Metazoa, Arthropoda, Arachnida, Ixodida, Ixodidae.